AAUAAGCAUUCCGCCUGGGGAGUACGGCCGCAAGGUUGAAACUCAAAGGAAUUGACGGGGGCCCGCACAAGCAGCGGAGCAUGUUGUUUAAUUCGAAGCAACGCGAAGAACCUUACCAGGUCUUGACAUCCAUUAAAAGCUAUAGAGAUAUAGUGUGAGCUUGCUCGUAAUGAGACAGGUGGUGCAUGGUUGUCGUCAGCUCGUGUCGUGAGAUGUUGGGUUAAGUCCCGCAACGAGCGCAACCCUUGUGAUUAGUUACUAACGCGUAGAGGCGAGGACUCUAAUAAGACUGCCGGGGACAACUCGGAGGAAGGUGGGGACGACGUCAAAUCAUCAUGCCCCUUAUGACCUGGGCUACAAACGUGCUACAAUGGCCACUACAGAGAGCAGCGAAGUCGCAAGGCGCAGCGAAUCUCAUAAAAGUGGUCCCAGUUCGGAUUGUGGGCUGCAACCCGCCCACAUGAAGUCGGAGUUGCUAGUAAUCGCGAAUCAGCAUGUCGCGGUGAAUACGUUCCCGGGCCUUGUACACACCGCCCGUCACACCAUGGGAGUUGAUAGCGCCCGAAGUCGGUGAGGCAACCAGUAAUGGGGCCAGCCGCCGAAGGUGAGAUCAAUGACUGGGGUGAAGUCGUAACAAGGUAGCCG
Molecule: ribosomal RNA, 645 nt
Filed under: uncultured bacterium
Lineage: Bacteria
Description: bacterial SSU rRNA
Rfam family: Bacterial small subunit ribosomal RNA
Source: RNAcentral